GGCCCACUGGCCGUUUAUGCAAGUUUCCCAACAAGGGUGACACUCAGGUGGACCUUGUUGGGCACGGGGACACAAGUUAACAAACCAAUGAAAACCGCAUUAUACAGUGGGACACUCCCAUACAUAAACAAUAUAAUUCCUCCUCUGUGCUUGGGAGAUAAUUGAAUCAGGAACUGUACUAAUCUAACCCAAUUAUCUCCAA
Molecule: non-coding RNA, 202 nt
Organism: Pelobates cultripes (western spadefoot toad)
Lineage: Eukaryota; Metazoa; Chordata; Amphibia; Anura; Pelobatidae
Source: the annotation of a GenBank genome assembly